This 325-nucleotide ribosomal RNA is filed under the name uncultured eukaryote. Its description in RNAcentral is "partial 18S ribosomal RNA". It matches the Rfam family "Eukaryotic small subunit ribosomal RNA", at positions 1470 to 1796 of the family's 1831-position model. The record is from RNAcentral.
CCCUUAGAUGUUCUGGGCCGCACGCGCGCUACACUGAUGCAUUCAACGAGCCUAUCCUUGACCGACAGGUCCGGGUACUCUUUGAAUCUGCAUCGUGACGGGGAUAGAUUAUUGCAAUUAUUAAUCUUCAACGAGGAAUGCCUAGUAGGCGCAAGUCAUCAGCUUGCGUCGAUUACGUCCCUGCCCUUUGUACACACCGCCCGUCGCUCCUACCGAUUGGGUGUGCUGGUGAAAUGUUCGGAUCGGCCGUUUGUCGCGGUUUCCGCGUCAUGUGGCUGAGAAGUUCAUUAAACCCUCCCACCUAGAGGAAGGAGAAGUCGUAACA